UACGUAGGGGGCAAGCGUUGUCCGGAAUCAUUGGGCGUAAAGCGCGUGUAGGCGGCUCGAUAAGUCUGCUGUGAAAGUCCAGGGCUCAACCCUGGGAUGCCGGUGGAUACUGUCGAGCUCGAGUCCGGAAGAGGAGUGUGGAAUUCCUGGUGUAGCGGUGAAAUGCGCAGAUAUCAGGAGGAACACCAAUGGCGAAGGCAGCACUCUGGGACGUGACUGACGGCUGAGACGCGAAAGCGUGGGGAGCGAACAGG
This 254-nucleotide ribosomal RNA is filed under the name uncultured bacterium. RNAcentral describes it as "partial 16S ribosomal RNA". It matches the Rfam family "Bacterial small subunit ribosomal RNA", at positions 524 to 776 of the family's 1533-position model. The record is from RNAcentral.